Molecule: long non-coding RNA, 743 nt
Filed under: Rattus norvegicus (Norway rat)
Lineage: Eukaryota; Metazoa; Chordata; Mammalia; Rodentia; Muridae
Description: long non-coding RNA NONRATT011291
Source: RNAcentral
UGGAGGCAACACACACCUGGAACUGUUUUUACUACACUGCUGUCACAUUGCUGGAAAGGUCACAUAGGUGUGUUUGUCACAUAUAAGAAAUUCAAUAUGGAUGGAGUUUUAGUGAUAAAAGACAUUAGGAACUGUUUAUUUCUUGGCUGGAGUCAUACACUGACAGUCAAGACAAAAUCCCCCUAGUUCCUGGUUACUUCAGUGUGACUUGAUCCCAACUAGUAUUUGAGCUGUAGAAUAAUCCGGUUGUUCCAUUAUCACUUUGGUAAGUUCCUUUGACGUUUCUCAGGAUAAUCUUUGGUGGGCCUUCCUAUUUUCUGUUUUAAUUCAGGUAUAUUCAGCUUGCAGCUUUACUUUCUCGAAGAUCCCUUCACCAUACACCUUAUCAAAGCGGAUUAAUGGAAAGUGGAGUGGUCAAAGUGCUGGAGGAUGUGGAAAUUUUCAGGAGACUCACAAAAAUAACCCCAUCUACCAAUUCCAUAUCGAUAAGACUGGUCCGUUACUAAUUGAGCUGAGGGGACCAAGGCAAUACAGUGUUGGAUUUGAGGUUGUAGCAGUUUCCAUAGCGGGAGAUCCUGGUCCCCAUGGCUUUCAGAGGAAAUCUAGUGGUGACUAUAGGUGUGGAUUUUGCUACUUAGAACUGGAAAACAUACCUGCUGGGAUCUUUAAUGUCAUCCCCAGUACUUUUUUGCCUAAACAAGAAGGACCCUUUUUCUUGGACUUCAAUAGUACUGUCCCCAUCA